Molecule: ribosomal RNA, 427 nt
Filed under: uncultured bacterium
Lineage: Bacteria
Description: partial 16S ribosomal RNA
Rfam family: Bacterial small subunit ribosomal RNA
Source: RNAcentral
UGGGGAAUAUUGCACAAUGGGCGCAAGCCUGAUGCAGCCAUGCCGCGUGUAUGAAGAAGGCCUUCGGGUUGUAAAGUACUUUCCGCGAGGAGGAAGGCGUUGUGGUUAAUAACCGCAGCGAUUGACGUUACUCGCAGAAGAAGCACCGGCUAACUCCGUGCCAGCAGCCGCGGUAAUACGGAGGGUGCAAGCGUUAAUCGGAAUUACUGGGCGUAAAGCGCACGCAGGCGGUCUGUCAAGUCGGAUGUGAAAUCCCCGGGCUCAACCUGGGAACUGCAUCCGAAACUGGCAGGCUAGAGUCUUGUAGAGGGGGGUAGAAUUCCAGGUGUAGCGGUGAAAUGCGUAGAGAUCUGGAGGAAUACCGGUGGCGAAGGCGGCCCCCUGGACAAAGACUGACGCUCAGGUGCGAAAGCGUGGGGAGCAAACA